AUCGUCGAGGUGCUGGCCCACGCUCCCCGGGUCGCUCCCGGGCAGACGUGGCGCUCCGAGGCCGGACACCUGUUCUACGCCGUGCGGUGGCGCCA
This 95-nucleotide transfer RNA is filed under the name Micromonospora yangpuensis. RNAcentral's name for it is "tRNA-Ala". Lineage: Bacteria; Bacillati; Actinomycetota; Actinomycetes; Micromonosporales; Micromonosporaceae. The record is from RNAcentral.